RNAcentral lists this transfer RNA (99 nucleotides) under Coniochaeta sp. 2T2.1. It matches the Rfam family "tRNA". Rfam says of the family: Transfer RNA (tRNA) molecules are approximately 80 nucleotides in length. Their secondary structure includes four short double-helical elements and three loops (D, anti-codon, and T loops). Further hydrogen bonds mediate the characteristic L-shaped molecular structure. tRNAs have two regions of fundamental functional importance: the anti-codon, which is responsible for specific mRNA codon recognition, and the 3' end, to which the tRNAs corresponding amino acid is attached (by aminoacyl-tRNA synthetases). tRNAs cope with the degeneracy of the genetic code in two manners: having more than one tRNA (with a specific anti-codon) for a particular amino acid; and 'wobble' base-pairing, i.e. permitting non-standard base-pairing at the 3rd anti-codon position. The record is from Rfam by way of RNAcentral. Lineage: Eukaryota; Fungi; Ascomycota; Sordariomycetes; Coniochaetales; Coniochaetaceae.
GGGAGUCUGGCCGAGUGGUCUUAAGGCGCUGUGUUUAGGUUUUCUUAUCACCGAUCCGCAGUGGGGUAACCCGCGCAGGUUCGAAUCCUGCGGCUCUCA